Long non-coding RNA from Carassius gibelio (silver crucian carp), 792 nucleotides. RefSeq lists it as uncharacterized. The transcript has 2 exons. The record is from RefSeq and is a predicted model, not a curated record. NCBI's taxonomy places the organism in Eukaryota, Metazoa, Chordata, Actinopteri, Cypriniformes, Cyprinidae.
CCUUUGAGUGUUACUUUGGUGUUAAAUUUGAAAGCCCUGAUAACAACACAGAGGCUGUGAAGAACCAGAUCUAAUAAAGACUGAGUUUGUGGUUUUAAUGCAUCUGUCUUUGUUAAAACAGUUGAGACUUGUGAAGAAGAGAUCACUUACGCCGAGACGACAUUCUACAAAAGAAGCGCACAGAAAACAAAAGUCGAAGAGGAUGUGGAAUAUGCACCGAUCAAAAUCAGAAGAUGAUCAAACUUCAGUGUUAUUCUAAGUACAAGACUCUUAUUGUCUUAUGAUUUUCAUUGGGAAUCUCCCAUCAUGACUUCAGACACUGUGGUCUUAUGGAUGAGCAUUUUCACUGCAGCUUUUCAUGUUUGCAAAACAUAGAUGCAAACUAUCCAUCCAGAGGUGAUAAAGUAGACUCUGCUGUGGUACGGAUUAUUUAUAUCUGUACAGAAAUGUGGUUUGAUCUGUGCAUCAGAAUGUGUCUACUGCUGGAUGCUUGUAUUUGAUGUCAGUUUGUUAGUGUGUGUCUGAGGUGUUAAAAGUGUCUGUUUGCAUGUGUAUUUGUGCAAGUGUGUGUCUAAGGUGUCAACAAUACAUCUGUGUGAGAGUGUGCCGUGUGAGUGUGUCGUGCGAUUGUGUCUGAGGUGUCAAUAGUGUGACUGUGUGAGUUUGUAUGAGGUGUCAAUAAUAGUCUCUCAGUGUGAGUGUGUCUGAGGUGUCAGUCUGUGUGACUUCUGCUCUACAAGGAAGCUAAUUUACUUAAAAAUAUGAAAGUCAUUAAAGGGAUCAUGAAAUAGA